Long non-coding RNA from Pygocentrus nattereri (red-bellied piranha), 377 nucleotides. The record is from Ensembl. Lineage: Eukaryota; Metazoa; Chordata; Actinopteri; Characiformes; Serrasalmidae.
AUGUGGUUCCUGGAUUUCGCCUCCCCCCCUCUACACACGGCUGUGGACUUUACCAGCCAGUAUAAGGGAAGCCCCGGAAGGCGCCCGCGUUCCCCUAAGGAACAGGACCGAAGAGAUCACAGGUUCCCGGAUUUCGCCUCCCCCCCUCUACACAUGGCUGUGGGCUUUACCAGCCAGUAUAAGGGAAGCCCCGGAAGGCGCCCGCGUUCCCCUAAGGAACAGGACCGAAGAGAUCACAGGUAAGUAUCACAUACAUCAAUCGUUUAAUUUAAAAACAAGUACUUAAAUAUCUUUUAUAACACUGGUGAUGGGGUAGACCUACUGACCCCAUCACAAUACCAUUCUUUAAAAGGAUUCCAUUUUUGUGCAAAUGCUAG